CCCUUAGAUGUUCUGGGCCGCACGCGUGCUACACUGAGUAAAUCAAUGGGUAAGGGAACACGAAAGUGCAACCUAAUCUUGAAAUUUGCUCGUGAUGGGGAUCGACGGUUGCAAUUUUCCGUCGUGAACGAGGAAUACCUUGUAGGCGCGUGUCAUCAUCACGCGCCGAAUACGUCCCUGCCCUUUGUACACACCGCCCGUCGUUUCUUCCGACUGAUACUCAUUGUGAGUUGCAAGGAUUCUUAAAUGGAGAAUUGCGACAAAUACUUUGUAUUGGAGGAAGAAAAAGUCGUAACA
Molecule: ribosomal RNA, 297 nt
Filed under: uncultured eukaryote
Lineage: Eukaryota
Description: partial 18S ribosomal RNA
Rfam family: Eukaryotic small subunit ribosomal RNA
Source: RNAcentral